Molecule: RNA transcript, 6044 nt
Organism: Malus domestica (apple)
Lineage: Eukaryota; Viridiplantae; Streptophyta; Magnoliopsida; Rosales; Rosaceae
Source: RefSeq, a predicted model, not a curated record
UUUCUUUAUUUUUUCCUUCUCUCUCACCUGUUUCGUCGUGCGUACCAAAUCUCUCCUUCUCUCUCUCUCCUCACUUUCUCGCUCAUCCCGAGCUCCUCGCACGAAAUCUCUCUGGAUUCCGCCGAUUGAAAUUACCUUCCCUCGUUCUCGAUCCGAAAUCCUUAAAUCUCUCUGACCCGACCCAUGGUUAAAUCCCCGCCACCUAAGCCCUAGGCUUCCCCGAAUCGUUUCAACCCCCACCCAAUCGAAGACCCGCGGCUUGAUCUAGGGUUUUAUCCCCUCCCCCCUCUCCCCUCUCCCCCUCCGAAUUUCGAGAAUCUAGGGUUCUUGCUGUUGAAUUCGACUCCGGAUUGAUGUUUCAUAUCAAGGUGGACGAUUGUGGGAUCGAUUGCUCGCGAAUUGAAAACCGAGAUGGAGGGCUAUGCAUGGUUCGCCAGCUGAGAAGUCGAUACGCCGUCGGCACAUGUGGCCUGUCCCUCAUUCCAACGCCACGACUGUAGCUUCCGACCAUUCUACCGCAACCGAUUCCUUCUCCAAAGAUGGACGCAAAAUUUGUGUUGGCGACUGUGCACUUUUCAAGCCACCCCAGGAUUCCCCACCUUUUAUUGGAAUAAUUCGUAGGCUAAUAUUAGACAAGGAGGAACGUCUAUGUUUAGGUGUAAAUUGGCUUUAUCGACCUGCUGAUGUAAAGCUUUCCAAAGGGGUCUCGCUAGAAGCUGCCCCAAACGAGGUCUUUUACUCCUUUCACAAGGAUGAGAUACCUGCUGCAUCGUUACUCCAUCCGUGUAAAGUCGCAUUCCUUCGUAAAGGUGUUGAACUUCCUUCAGGGAUAUCCUCAUUUGUGUGCAGACGAGUGUAUGAUACUGAGAACAAUUGUUUAUGGUGGUUAACUGACAAAGACUUUAUUAAUGAACGACAGGAAGAAGUAGAUCAGCUAUUAGACAAGACAAGACUAGAAAUGCAUGGGGCAGUGCAGUCGGGAGGUCGUUCUCCGAAACCCUUGAAUACUCCGUCAUCAACACCACAGAUAAAAUCUGGUUCAGAUAGUUUACAGAAUAGCACAUCCCCCUUUUCUUCGCAGGUUAAAGGAAAAAAGAGGGAACGAGGAGAUCAGGGCUCUGAACCUGCCAAACGAGAACGUUUAGUUAAAAUAGAGGAUGGAGAGUCUGGUCAGUCCAGACCUGAAAAUAUGCUAAAGUCUGAGCUUGGAAAAAUAACAGACAAAGGAGGACUACUAGACACACAGGGGGUUGAGAAGUUUGUCCAACUUAUGAAAGCUGAAAGUGCUGAUAAGAAAAUAGAUUUGGCUGGCCGAAGAAUGCUUGUUGAUGUGAUAGCAGUUACUGAUAGGUUGGAUUGCCUUGGGCAAUUUGUACAACGCAAGGGUUUGUGUGUGUUGGAUGAAUGGCUCCAAGAAGUUCACAAGGGAAAACUUGGUGAUGGUAGUAGCCCAAAAGAAAGUGAUAAAUCCGCUGAGGAAUUUCUUUUUGCCUUACUUCGUGCACUGGAGAAGGUUCCUGUGAAUCUUCAUGCGCUGCAGACUUGUAAUGUUGGCAAAUCUGUGAAUAAUUUACGCACUUACAGAAACUCUGAAAUCCAGAAGAAAGCUAGAAGUUUAGUUGAUAUGUGGAAGAAACGUGUUGAAGCUGAGAUGAAUUUGAAUGAGACAAAGACUGGAUCUAGUCGUGGUGGUGUUUCCUGGCCUACGAAGCAUGCAUCUUCAGAAGUUUCUCAUGUAGGGAGCAGAAAAAUUGGAAGUUCAUCUGAGGUUGGCACAAAAAGUUCUACUAUGCAACCUUCUGUGUCUAAAACUCCUCAGAUUAAACUUGGCUGUGGAGAAACAGUUUCUAAAUCUUCUGGUUCACCUGGAUCAACGAAAUUGUUGAGUAUAUCAUCCGGCAAUCUCUCAAGGGACCAGAAUUUCAGAACGUUAGGUGCCGGAGCUUCAGAUCUUCCAUUGACACCAAUUAAGGAGGAAAGAAGCAGCAGUUCUAGCCAGUCUCAGAACAACAGCCAGUCAAGUGAUCAUGCGAGGACAGUGGGUUCUUUAUAUAGGGAAGAUGCAAGGAGCUCGUCUGCUGGUUCAGUUAGUGCGAGCAAAAUUUCUGGCAGUUCUUCUCGCCAUCGGAAAUCAAGCAAUGGCCUUAAUGGGUCUACUGCCUCAGGAGUUAAGAAGGAAUCAGGGCCAGGAAAAGCUUGUACCCUCAAUAGAAAUUUGACUUCUGAAAAGGCUUCAACAGUAGGAGUAUCCUAUGAGAAGCUUCCUGAAGUGCCCAUGGUUGACCAUGGAAACAACCGGCUGAUUGUCAGAUUGCCAAACACUGGUAGGAGUCCUGCUCGUGGUACCUCGGGAGGUUCUUUUGAAGAUCCUGUUAACAGAGGGUCUCCUCCUGCUGAAAAGCAUGACAACCAUGACCAAAAAUCUAAGCACAGAAGUGAUGCCUUGCACGGUAAUAGCACAGCAGAUGUUAACUCAGAUGCAUUUCACAGCAAAGAGGGAUCAUCUGGUUCUGAAGAUGGCAAUGUGCCAACUAUAGGCAGCGAACAAAAUAGGGGUGGUGAAGAUGGUGAAAAACAAACAGAAGCAUCAAAGGCUACUGGUUCCUCGUCAAAAGUCACUUUAAGGACAGGAAAAUCAUAUGAAGCAUCGUUAAGCUCCAUGAAUGCGUUAGUUGAAAGCUGUGUGAAGUUUUCUGAAAGUAGUGGUGCUGCUUCACCUAGUGAUGAUGUUGGGAUGAAUUUGCUAGCUAGCGUGGCUGCUGGAGAAAUGUCCAAAUCUGAGAAUGUGUCACCAUCAGGUUCUCCUGGGAGGAAUUCUCCUGUGCCUGAGAGAUCAUACUCAGAAGAUGAUGCCAAGUUGAAACAACUGGGCAAAGAAAUUGCUGACAUUCAAUGUCAACCUAAUGGAGCGGUCAAUAGUGGUGCUACUGAGCUGGGCAGUGGACGUGACUCAUUGCGAGGUAAGAAUGAAACAAGACACUCUCUUACCCACCUGCCAACUAAUGGUUUUGCUGAUGUUAAAGUUGCUUCAUCUGGGUGCGGGGAUAGAACAGCUGAGUGUAAUGCAAAUUUGAAUUGUUCUUCAAAUAAGAAACAAAAUACUGAUGGUCAAUCCUUGAGGGAUGAUGUGAAGCCUGGUGAGUCAUGUGACGCUUCAGCAUUAGAGCCACUUUCAUGUGCUAGAAAAGAGGGUCAUUUGGAGGCUGAAGGAUCUAACCAGUCUCAUGAGCAAGGAAAAUUGGAGGCUUCUAAUGAUGAAAGAACUGUCAGGAGCAGUACACCAGUUGUGUCUGAAGCAGCCUCUGGGAGUGCAAAAGUUGAACAGGACAUUGAAAUAUCUACUUGCUCAUCCUCUCAAUUGGCUGGCGAGAACCAUGAUUUAAAAAAGGAUUCGAAUAGUGCUAUACUGACAGAGCAGAAAUCAUCUGUCGUCGAAGGAAUCCACUCAGAUUCCAGAGAGGGGAAGAGUGAGGAUGCUGUUCUAUGUUCUGGUUCUGGAAACACUUUACAUGUGGAGUUUAUGGAUGAACAGACAGAUGACAUUAAGGCUUCCGGUCACACUGCACAGCCAGAGAAAGAGACACCGGAUAGUUCUGUUCCAUUUUCGCAGAACAGCAGAGAUUUUGCUCAGGAUACUACAGAAAGAAACGAGGCUUUUGUUCACUGUUCCGAUCAACCGGUUUCGAAGGCAGAGUCACCAUCAAUAUCUGUUAAAGAAAAUGAGCAGCAUGACAAGUCUAGUAAGUGUAAGUCAGAAGUUAUUGAAUCAGGGGAGACGGAGGAGCGGCAAGUUUCCUCGGCAUCAGGUACUGCUGUAAAGCUGGACUUUGAUUUGAAUGAGGGCUUUCCUGUUGAUGAUGGGAGCCAACCAGAGUUUGUUAAAGCAGGAGAUCCUGGAACUUCGUCCUCUGUUCAUUUUCCUUGCCCUUUACCUUUUCAAAUGUCUUCCAUGUCAGGGAGCUUCCCUGCAUCAAUUACUGUAGUAGCACCGGCCAAAGGUUCAUUUGUCCCUCCUGAAAACCUGAUGCGGAGUACGGGUGAACUUGGAUGGAAGGGAUCUUCAACCACCAGUGCAUUCCGACCUGCAGAACCCCGAAGGAAUGUAGAAGCAUCUCCCAAUACAACGGAUGCACCUAUUGUUGAUACUGCUUCCACCAAACAAGUCCGCCCUCCAUUGGACUUUGACUUGAAUGUGCCUGAUCAGAGAGUUUAUGAGGAAGUUGUUCAAAACUCGGAUGUAAAGUCUGGAUCUCGUGAUCGGGGCUCUGGAGGGCUUGAUCUUGAUUUGAAUAGAGUGGAUGAGAGUCCUGAUAUUGGGCCGCUUGUAAGCAACAGUUAUAGGUUGGAUAUUCCUCCUUUGCCCGGUAGGUCAUCAUUAUCCGGUGGACUAUCUAAUGGUGCGGUCAACGACUCCAGAGACUUCGAUUUAAACAAUGGGCCAGGCCUUGAUGAAGUUGGCACUGACACAGCUCCUUGCACCCAGCAUUUAAAAACCAGUAUGCCGCCUCGUACUCCUGUUCAUGGUUUAAGAAUAAACAACCCUGAUUUUGGGAACUUUUCGGCAUGGUUCCCUCCAGGAAACUCAUAUUCUGCCAUCACAGUCCCGCCAAUGUUCCCUGGCAGGUGUGAGCAGAGUUACGGUGCUGCUGCUGGGUCUCAGAGAGUUUUAUGUCCUCCCACUGGUAAUGCUGCAUUUGGUCCUGAAAUCUACAGGAGGCCAGUGCUUUCGUCCUCAACUGCUGUGCCAUUUCCUCCUGCUACCACAUUUCAAUAUCCAGGGUUUCCUUUUGAAACCAGUUUUCCUUUGUCAUCGGGCCCCUUUUCUGGUUCUACUGCAUAUAUGGAUUCAUCAUCUGGUGGAGCACUUUGCUUUCCCCCCAUGCCCUCGCAGAUGGUGGGACCUGGUGGUGUAGUUUCAUCCCCUUACCCGAGACCCUAUAUGAUGAGCCUUCCCAGUGGUAGCAGUAAUGUUGGCCUUGAUGGUAGGAAAUGGGGUAGUCAGGGUCUUGAUCUUAAUGCCGGGCCUGGAGCUACAGAAAUAGAACGGAGAGAUGAUAGGUUACCUUUGGGAACGGGGCAGCUUUCUGUUCCCAGUUCACAAGGUCCGGUAGAGGAACAGUUAAAGUUGUUUCAGGUGGGAGGUGCAUUGAAGAGAAAGGAACCUGAUAGUGGAUUGGAUGCUGUUGAUCGAGUUAGCUAUAAGCAGCCUUCAUGGCAGUAGAAUUGUGGCACAAUGCAGCAAACCUGUCAUGGCUUGCACUUCGGGGUUUCGCCUAGGAAACGUACAGGAGUUGACAAGUUGUUCACAUGAACAGUAAAAAAUGAUAAAGGGCAGGUGCAUGCGUUCAUUGCACGGAACACCAGUCUGUACCACCUCUUAACUUUGGAAAGCCCCCUGGGGUCCUGGAAGCAGUUCUUUUAACUGAAUCUGCUCUGAUAGCCACUGCAGACAAGUUUUUCUGUGUAGAUAUCUAACUCUUGGAAAGCAUCCUCGACGCACUGCCUAAAGCCGUGACAUUGGUGCUCAAUAUUUGGACUUGUGCCAGUUCAGAUCAUUUUUUUUUCUGUUCGCCGGAGAAUCACUUGUUUUGGAACUGCCCCGAUUUGCUAGUUGUUUGUACAAGCCUUUAUGCGAUCACGCCGUUUGCAGCCACGGAGCAGCGUUGCGUCGUGAUGAAAUGUAUUGACUUGGAUUCAUCCCUCUUGUGGCGGAAAAUGUCUUCAAAGUUAUUGCGUCAACAAUUUAUUCAUGCGGUGCAUGCCAUACACCGGAGGAGACCGUAAAAAAAUUUAUCUGAAAAAGUAAGCGAACUGUUAGUGCAGGACACGUUUAUCAGAUUUCAGUAUCGAAGUAGCGUUAAGGACAAGUGAGGAUUCUUGCCGGAUUCUUUUUGUGCGAUCCCGAAGAUUUUCAAAUUAUAUUUGUUCAUCCUACAUCGUCGAAGAUUCUCAAAUUAUAUUUGUUCAUUCUAUAUCGUGUGUGGUCAGAUAUCAUUGUAAAGUUUUUUUAUUGAAAAUUAAAUAUAAACAGUACCUGACGAAAA